GGCAGUUCUUGGGUGACACACCAUGGAAUCGAGCUCCCUCCUCUCUGGUUCCAGGUGCAUCACCCAAGAACCACA
Myotis davidii is the source of this 75-nucleotide non-coding RNA. Lineage: Eukaryota; Metazoa; Chordata; Mammalia; Chiroptera; Vespertilionidae. The record is from Rfam.